GAAUGCGAUCAUACCAGCACUAAUGCUCCGGAUCCCAUCAAAACUUUUCAGUUACGCGUGCUUGGGCGAGAGUAGUACUAGGAUGGGUGACCUCCAGGAAAGUUCUCAUGUUGCAUCCC
Non-coding RNA from Arabidopsis suecica, 119 nucleotides. NCBI's taxonomy places the organism in Eukaryota, Viridiplantae, Streptophyta, Magnoliopsida, Brassicales, Brassicaceae. The record is from the annotation of a GenBank genome assembly.